This 261-nucleotide non-coding RNA is filed under the name Pseudomonas sp. FeS53a. RNAcentral's name for it is "Nitrogen regulated small RNA". It matches the Rfam family "Nitrogen regulated small RNA". From Rfam's summary of the family: Its transcription is induced during nitrogen limitation by the NtrB/C two-component system (an important regulator of nitrogen assimilation and swarming motility) together with the alternative sigma factor RpoN (a global regulator involved in nitrogen metabolism). Lineage: Bacteria; Pseudomonadati; Pseudomonadota; Gammaproteobacteria; Pseudomonadales; Pseudomonadaceae. The record is from Rfam by way of RNAcentral.
CAUACAGUUUCAGGGGCCCUUGGUACAGGCAGGCCGAGAAGCCCCCUCUUUACAUGCACCACCCGCUGCCCGGUCCCGCGUCGAGCCCCGCUCCGCGACCGAACAGCGGCAAACCCUUUCGGGGGCCCAGGUACAGGCAGGCCGGGGAUUCCCCUUUCUUACAACCGCUCGCCGCCGUCGCCCCAGGCACGGCAACGGGCAAAACCCUUUCGGGGACCUUGGUACAGGCAGGCCGGGGAAUCCCCCUUCUUAAAGCCGCUC